AGUGAACGCUGGCGGUAGGCCUAACACAUGCAAGUCGAACGGCAGCACAGUAAGAGCUUGCUCUUACGGGUGGCGAGUGGCGGACGGGUGAGGAAUACUUCGGAAUCUACUUUUUCGUGGGGGAUAACGUAGGGAAACUUACGCUAAUACCGCAUACGACCUACGGGUGAAAGCAGGGGAUCUUCGGACCUUGCGCGAUUGAAUGAGCCGAUGUCGGAUUAGCUAGUUGGCGGGGUAAAGGCCCACCAAGGCGACGAUCCGUAGCUGGUCUGAGAGGAUGAUCAGCCACACUGGAACUGAGACACGGUCCAGACUCCUACGGGAGGCAGCAGUGGGGAAUUUUGGACAAUGGGCGCAAGCCUGAUCCAGCCAUACCGCGUGGGUGAAGAAGGCCUUCGGGUUGUAAAGCCCUUUUGUUGGGAAAGAAAAGCAGCAGGUUAAUACCCCGCUGUUCUGACGGUACCCAAAGAAUAAGCACCGGCUAACUUCGUG
This 492-nucleotide ribosomal RNA is filed under the name uncultured bacterium. RNAcentral describes it as "partial 16S ribosomal RNA". It matches the Rfam family "Bacterial small subunit ribosomal RNA", at positions 29 to 507 of the family's 1533-position model. The record is from RNAcentral.